GAACCGAAACACCCCUGGGGUGCAGGCCCCAGGCUGCUGGCCUCUCUCUAGCCCGGCCUUGCCUUACUUCCUGCUCUUCUAGGAAUUCCCUGUAACCUGAGGGAGGCCUCAGUCAGGGCAGGGGUGUCACCUUCCCCAACACGGAGCAGCCUCUGUGGCUCCGUGAGGACUGGAGGGCUCCCUGGGUGUCACCCACUCACUUCUUUCCUCUGACUUCUGCUGCACCUUCACCUUUUCCUGUGCCUCACUGUGGAGCCGAUGGCUGUGGCAGCCUAGUCAGGAGGCACCCUGCUUUGCAUUGGCUGCAGCUCAGGCUCUGGGUGAAAGGAUGAUGUCUUGACUCGUACAUCAAUCACAGACUCUAAUGUUGGCUUCUGAAUGCUGAGGACUACAGUGCCAACAGGCUUCUGCCUUGAGAAUGGCUUCUGGGGCCCAGAAAGCCCUCUGCCUUAGCGGACGGCCUCUUCUCUGCUUAUAGAGAAGGCGAAGGAAGAGAAAAUCUGUCCCUGAACCGGGGUGGCAUUUCUCAAGAGUGAUGUCAGGGUGAAGGGUAUUUUUACCUUGGGGAGUUUUCCCAGCCCUUCAGCCAACAACCCCUGACCAUAGCCAGCGGGAAACCACGAGUUCUCACAGGACAUAGAGGAAGUCAAGAGUUCUACAAGAGGUGUCCAACACACAGGAAAAAAGCUUGGUGCUCUUCAGCAAAUGAGAUCCAUCACCCAAGAGUGUGGCAAUUUGAAAAGGUCAGAGAAUUUUUCUGUCCCACAAGUGUUUAUAAAAUUCUAUUUACAAGAUACAGAUAUUUCUCAGGGGGAAAAAUCCAUUCAUCCUGGGUCUGGGAGUUCACAUGUACAUCUCGCGCCCCCUGUGGACACAUUACAGGCUGGAGAAAUAAACACUCGUGCUCUCCUAAUGCUUCUGAGGAUGAACGCCGUAUAGAUCACACCGGAACACAGCAGUGAUGAUCUUCUCCAGGAUGGAGAUAGUUCAUCUUUAGACCAGAGGGCUGGGCACAUGACCGGUGCAGUGCCGUGGUCCACUGUGCCAUGGUUAACCAGUGCCACCACCUGGGCACACAGGGCUGCAUGCAACAGGAGGAGUGAAUGGGCUUCUGCCUGUUGGCUGUCUUUCAACAUGGCACAAACCCCGGGGUCUGCUCUAGGAGGAGACAGUUGCAGGGAGCGGUAGGGACCAGAUGCAGGGAAGCAAACCCCUACCUGCAGCUGUCGCCAGCCUGGGUAACUCCUACUGGGCAAAUGGCUAUGGUGGGGGCUCUGUGUGCACAUGGAGACACAUGGAUGGUAGCCCAAACACCGUCUCUUUCUCAAAUGCCUUCCCACAGAACAGGGUCAAAGAGGCCUCUCUCCCUACCCACUUCCCCCCUGCCAAGAGGGGACAGACUGGGAAGGCAACUCCUAUCGGAUUCAGGUCAUGUACUGGCUGGAAAGAAGAGAUGGAGUGGAGUCCAGGGAAUCCAUCGAGGCAGCCAGUGGGAAGACCAAGUUGGGAAAGCUGGGUUGUGUGACACUAGUGAUGGGUUUGGACCAGCCAGAAGGAAAAGACAAGAGACAGAAAGAGGAGGGGACACAUGGAACGGAAACAAGCAAUAGCCAAGGGGAGAAAAGCAUCACAAACAGAACCAGAUUCAUUUACUGAAUAAUACACGAAGAGCCAAACUGCAAUCCCAGAAACACUUAUGUGUCACCAAGAGUUUACGAUCCGGGUAGAAUGAUGGCAACGUCAAAAUCCAUUUAACAUUCUGAGCUAUGAACGGUGUGAAACCUGGCAUGUACAAGCAGUGAGGAUCCCAGACUGAAAGUGGCUGCAGCUCUUUUGACAAUGCCACCUCUGCUCAUUACUCUCAUCAGGAGGCAUCGCAGCCAUCAGAUACAGAAUUCUAAAGGUUUAUAGCAACAACAAAAAAUACAGCUUUUCUAGUUUUUUGUUUUUUGAAAUGGAGUUUCACUUUUGUUGCCCAGGCUGGAGUGCAGUGGUGCAAUCUCGGCUCACUGCAACCUCUGGCUCCCAGGUUCAAGCAAUUCUCCUGCCUCAGCCUCCUGAGUAGCUGGGAUUACAGGUGCCCACCACCACACUCAGCUAAUUUGUGUAUUUUUAGUAGAGAUGGGGUUUCGCCAUGUUGGCUAGGCUGAUCUUGAAGUCCUGACCUCAGGUGAUCCUCCUGCUUCAGCCUCCCAAAGUGCUGGGAUUAGUCAUGAGCCACCUGGCCUGGGCAGCUUUUCUGUUAAUAUCUCAUGUGCUUUAGAAACAUUUUAUACCUUGCAGAAUGCAGUCCCACUGUCAGCUUGCAACUGUGUCAAAAUAACAUGAAUCCAAAGUAGGAGGCGAGACGCAAGAUGAGACUGCUUGCACUAGCCCCAACCUGGGACCCAGCGGACACUCCCCCACAGUAGGUCUUAAGGAACCAUCAUCAUCAUCAUUCAUAACAGUGGCUGGCAUCACUGGGAUGUGUCAGAAAGAGAAAGGAGAGGAAACAAUCCAACUCUACUGGAAGUCAAUUUCAUAAGCAGCUGGGACUUCGUUUACUGUGUCGAGGAUGGGUUUCAAAUCAUAGCAGCUACCGCUGUGCCUCUGUCUCCCCCACAACCCCUGCUAAGACAGUUUGUCCCCUCUGUGGCCAGAGGGAUGGCUUCAAAUUCCCCACAGCCCUAGCCUAAGAGGUUGAACACUGAGGGACACCCUAAACGUUUAUGAAAUCGAAAAGCUCUGAAAAGUGCUGCUCUGCAGAGACCCUUUUCUCGAGUUCCUGCCGAAUCCCAGAAGUGCUGGCUCUGCAUCCUUCUCUGUACCCAGCCCCUAACUGAGGAGCAGGGACUUCCUGCCCUAAGGGAAUAGGGGCUCUGUUUGCAGCAGGAAGCUAUGUAAGGGAAGAAGGCUGUGCAGGGCAGCACGGUUAGGGUGCUUUGGUAUUUGGAGGAUCAUAAAAGGUGAGAGAUCAUGGAACCACAUAUGUUACAUGUCCAGAAUUCCCUGGAUUCCAGAAUGGCAGGGAGAUGACAUCCUUGUCAUUCAAAUACAAUGCGGACCUGUGCAUUCUUGUGUUUUAAAUUUUUUGAGUUGUAAUUUCCAACGUGAUGAAUAACUCUAUCAUCUAUCUAUCUAUCUGACAUCUAUCUCUCUACCUACCUUCAAAAUAUAUACAAACAAAAGCUCUUUGGGGGGUCCUUCAUAACUUUUCAAUGUGUAAAGGAGUCUUGACACCAAAACACUUGAGACCUGCUGGAAUAGAAUAGUAAAAUAAAAUAGUACGUGCUGUUGGGACACUUCAUUAAACAUUUAGAAAAAAGUUAGAACUUCAGCUUGCACCACAUCCACAAAACCACUGAUAGAUAAAUUACUGCACCAAAUGUAAGAAACACAAUAUAAAGGUAUUUGAGGAAAAUUCAGGAAACAUGGGGUGAGAAUAGAAGACACAAACCGAGGAGUCAUAUGCGGAUAUGAGACUGACGGAUUGUGUUCCUUAAUAAACAUUUUUGUGUAAAAAAGUAAAGUUAAAUGUUGGAUUUGGAGAUUGGCAAAGGAUACUUAAGAGAUUAUUAUUAUUACUGAGAAUACAUUAAGAACUCCUACAUGUUCAUAGACAAAGAAUGGAUAACCCAAUUGAAUCAUGGACAGGGACAUUGUAAUAAGAAAAAAAAGGCACACGAAUGUAAAAAGAGGUACAAUCUAUUAUCCAGGAAAUGGAAAUUAAAACAAUGUAAUUUUUUUUCUUUUCAUCAAAUUGGCCAAAAUGACAAGACUGUUCACAGCCAGUGCCGUAGAUGUCUGGGGACACAGGAGCCUGGGCUGGCCCAGUCUGUUACGAGGAGCAUUUGGUGUGUCUAUCAACACUUAAAAGUGCUUUGCUUCAACUCAGAGAUGCCACAACCUGUCAGUCCUAGAGACAGAGUAACAUGUGCACACAGAGAUACACACAAGAACAUUCACUGCUUCAUUUCAUGAACAGUCAAAUAAAUUAAAAAAUCUAAUAUCCAUCAACAGGAGACUAAACUACAGUUCAUCUACACUCUGGAGUUCUCUGAAGUAAUUAAAAAAGAAUGAGGUAGACUUAUAUAUCGUCAUGGAAACAUCUCCAGGAAAUAUUUACAAAAAUCAAAUUGUGGAACCAUGCAAAAAGAAGGGACCUUUUUAGGUACAAGUCCUCCCACCCCAUAUCAGCAUAUGCGUACCAUGCACACGGAUGCAUUCAAACUCUAAGACCAUCUGGAAGGACACAGCAAACCCGGCAAGGAUUCCUACAGCAGAACGGAGGAAGGGCCAAGACCAGCACUUCUGUUUUUGCUCUUGUGUUUCUGGACCAUUGGGGAGUUUUUACACUAAGAAUACAUUCUUGUAGGACUCAGUUGAUUUGAAAAAACAAACAGCCUCUUCCCCACCCUGUGAUCUUAUGAGACACGAUCUGAUGCUUUUUCUUCCUGACCCUCCCUCAGUGGGACUGGUUAGGGGCAGCAGGACGUAUCUCAGUCCCCUGGUGGGAGAGAGGGGCAGUUGUUGGGAGAACCGGGAUCCAGCUCUGGACACCCCUGAGCAAGUCAUUAACUUCUCAGCACAGCUGCAGCUGUGAGCAUCCUAGGGGCACCUGUCCUACCUACUUUCUGGGGUCUCUCUGAGGAUCAGUAGGUAUCAGGAUGGGCAGGUUAAUAAAGACCUGUGCUGCGUUUGUGAUUUU
Long non-coding RNA from Callithrix jacchus (white-tufted-ear marmoset), 4687 nucleotides. RefSeq lists it as uncharacterized. Lineage: Eukaryota; Metazoa; Chordata; Mammalia; Primates; Cebidae. The record is from RefSeq and is a predicted model, not a curated record.